AGAAAACCGCUGAAGGCAGAGACAGAACAAAAAUACUCUGAAGACAGAGCAAAUUUGUGAUUCAUUUACUUUAUUCGAGCUCAGACAAUGGCAAAGGUUCGCGGCGCGAUUGAGGCCACGGCAGACCAAGAUUCGCCUACCUUGGUUGUGACAACAGUCCCAACAACUUCAUGACUUCGGAAGAAUGCGAAAAAGCCUGUCUAUCGUAACAACAGCAACGGAAAAGGAAGAGGAUUGACCAUUUUACAGAAUGAGAGAAGUGCAGAACUAGGUUGUUACAUGGGAGGCCAAAAUAAUAAAUUUUCUGAGAGGA
Penaeus monodon (black tiger shrimp) is the source of this 313-nucleotide long non-coding RNA. RefSeq lists it as uncharacterized. The transcript is spliced from 2 exons. The record is from RefSeq and is a predicted model, not a curated record. Lineage: Eukaryota; Metazoa; Arthropoda; Malacostraca; Decapoda; Penaeidae.